UUGGCCCUAAAUCAAGGCCACUGGUUUGCUGUAGCCAUUGGUUUCAAACAGGAGCCCAAAGCAGAGGUCUCCCGGUCUGUUGGUGUUCCCAUUGCCCAUGGAGCAGCCAAUUCGUGAGGGAGCAACAACA
This is a non-coding RNA of Calypte anna (Anna's hummingbird), 130 nucleotides long. NCBI's taxonomy places the organism in Eukaryota, Metazoa, Chordata, Aves, Apodiformes, Trochilidae. The record is from Rfam.